CAGCCGCCGCGGGAAUACGGAGGGUGCAAGCGUUAAUCGGAAUUACUGGGCGUAAAGCGCACGCAGGCGGUCUGACAAGUCAGAUGUGAAAUCCCCGGGCUUAACCUGGGAACUGCAUUUGAAACUAUCAGGCUGGAGUCUUGUAGAGGGGGGUGGAAUUCCAGGUGUAGCGGUGAAAUGCGUAGAGAUCUGGAGGAAUACCGGUGGCGAAGGCGGCCCCCUGGACAAAGACUGACGCUCAGGUGCGAAAGCGUGGGGAGCAAACAGGAUUAGAUACCCGGGUAGUCCCUGUCUCUUAUAA
RNAcentral lists this ribosomal RNA (301 nucleotides) under uncultured bacterium. RNAcentral describes it as "partial 16S ribosomal RNA". It matches the Rfam family "Bacterial small subunit ribosomal RNA", at positions 509 to 809 of the family's 1533-position model. The record is from RNAcentral.